Molecule: ribosomal RNA, 133 nt
Filed under: Eriocheir sinensis (Chinese mitten crab)
Lineage: Eukaryota; Metazoa; Arthropoda; Malacostraca; Decapoda; Varunidae
Description: 5.8S ribosomal RNA
Rfam family: 5.8S ribosomal RNA
About the family: 5.8S ribosomal RNA (5.8S rRNA) is a component of the large subunit of the eukaryotic ribosome.
Source: RNAcentral
GGGUCGAAUGAAGACAGCAGGAAGCUGCGUGUCGGUAUGUGAAUAGCAAGAAUACCAGAUACAUCGACAAGUCGAACGCACAUGGCGGCGGCGGCACUAUCAUGUGCUGCCGUCACUCCUACACGAGGGUCGG